CACCCACUUCAACGAGGUGCCCGCUGCGCCCGCGACCGCCGCCCCUUCCACCGGUCGGAUUUAAAGCGGACCAAGCUCCACGCUUUAGCAGAACCCGAGGAGCGGCGGGAGCGUCGCCUGGGAGAUGAGGGUAGGGCGAGUCUAGCACUCAGGGACGGAAACGAGAGCCCAACCACCGGCACUUCCGGGGGGCGGGAGGAAACGAAGGCGCGGCACCCGACGCAACGCCCAGCAGCCAAUCAGAAGGCGGGGCGCCCAUUCAAAUUGCGGCCUUCUGGGGAGCCGGCGCUGGAGGUGGCAUUCCUGUAUUCAACAUACAUGGGCUGGGCGCAGUGGCACACACCUGUAAUCCCAGCACUUUGGGAGGCCGAGUUUAGCAGAUAUUUUCAGAAACGGAUACAUAAGAAAUGGCUGGAAAUCAAAUGAAUGUCCAAAGAAGAGCUUAGGGUCUUAUUCAUUUUUAAAAUAACUGUCAUUAUUCU
This 482-nucleotide long non-coding RNA is filed under the name Macaca mulatta (Rhesus monkey). RNAcentral describes it as "lncRNA (ENSMMUG00000051563.1)". The record is from RNAcentral. Lineage: Eukaryota; Metazoa; Chordata; Mammalia; Primates; Cercopithecidae.